This 24-nucleotide non-coding RNA is filed under the name Arabidopsis thaliana (thale cress). The record is from RNAcentral. Lineage: Eukaryota; Viridiplantae; Streptophyta; Magnoliopsida; Brassicales; Brassicaceae.
CCGUAAUAUAGCCCAAAUCACGAA